This 119-nucleotide ribosomal RNA is filed under the name Pteropus alecto (black flying fox). Lineage: Eukaryota; Metazoa; Chordata; Mammalia; Chiroptera; Pteropodidae. The record is from RNAcentral.
UUCUACGGCCAUGCUACCCUGAACAAGCCCGAUCCUGUCUGAUCUCGGAAGCUAAGCAGGGUCGGGCCUGGUUAGUACUUGGAUGGGAGACCACCUAAGAAGAUCAGGUGCUGUAGGCA